UGCAGGUCCCAGCCGGUCACUUACCACGGUCCUCUGUCACCUCCUCCACUGUGUCUCAGCUCCGGCACGCGUGUCCCCGUCUCCUAGGGUGCGCCCCUGCCAGAGCUCUAAAAUUUAUAGGGCCAGUACGCCCAUAAUUAUGUGUAACACCUGACACUACUCUAUAAGUCCCUGCACCUCCCACACUUCCCUGCCGGAUCUUCAGUGCCCCUAGCCUGAGAUUAAGUGUUCCUAUUGUCUGUUGCUUUGCCCGUGUAUUUGACCCUUCCGCUACGUUAUUUGACUACGCACUUUUGCAGCUGACCUUCUGCUAAGUCUGACUACGCCUAUGCCUCAUCCUUCUGUACCUCGUCUUGCCCAGUUACCUGUGUGGUCGAAUCGUAUCGGGGGUAGCGACCUGGGUGUCGCCUACUGCAGCAAGCCCAUCCUGCCGGCACAUUAGACUCCGCUCCCCGAUACGGCCCGUGUCAUCUGCCACACAGUUUGGAGGAUCCACAUCUAGCAGCACUACAACCACUACCAUCUCCCCGGUCCACAUUUAUGCAGAUGGUGGAUGCUGGAGAUCACUCGGCAUAGGAUAAGCAACAUUGGCACUUAGGAGACCCCUAUCCACAACUUACAUGGAUGGAACAUCCCCUCGCUUAUGUCUAAGCUUUUUCUGAUGACGACGCACACGGAUAAAUGCACACAUCGUAUAGCAUCUGUUUAAACUAACAAAGGCCAUUCUACUGGGAUUGAUCAUAUACCAACUAGUUCAAUGGUGGCAUCUUAUACGUACUAACUGGACUACCACAACAUUACCUAAGU
Molecule: long non-coding RNA, 807 nt
Organism: Hyla sarda
Lineage: Eukaryota; Metazoa; Chordata; Amphibia; Anura; Hylidae
Exons: 5
Source: RefSeq, a predicted model, not a curated record